Molecule: ribosomal RNA, 253 nt
Filed under: uncultured bacterium
Lineage: Bacteria
Description: partial 16S ribosomal RNA
Rfam family: Bacterial small subunit ribosomal RNA
Source: RNAcentral
UACGUAGGUGGCAAGCGUUGUCCGGAGUUAUUGGGCGUAAAGCGCGCGCAGGCGGUGCGGUAAGUCUCUGGUGAAAGCGAUCGGCUUAACUGGGCGAGGGCCGGGGAGACUGCCACGCUGGAGGGGAGCAGAGGCGAGUGGAAUUCCGGGUGUAGUGGUGAAAUGCGUAGAGAUCCGGAGGAACACCAGUGGCGAAGGCGGCUCGCUGGGCUCUACCUGACGCUGAGGCGCGAAAGCGUGGGGAGCGAACCGG